GCUGGGCACGGUGGCCGGUGCCUGUAAUCCCAGCUACUCAGGAGGCUGAGACAGGAGAAUCGCUUGAACCUGGGAAGUGGAGGUUGCAGUGAGCUAAGACUGUGCCACUGCACUCUAGCCUGGGUGACAGAGCAAGACUCUGUCUCAA
Pongo abelii (Sumatran orangutan) is the source of this 148-nucleotide unclassified non-coding RNA. It matches the Rfam family "Metazoan signal recognition particle RNA". From Rfam's summary of the family: The signal recognition particle (SRP) is a universally conserved ribonucleoprotein. NCBI's taxonomy places the organism in Eukaryota, Metazoa, Chordata, Mammalia, Primates, Hominidae. The record is from Ensembl.